This is a long non-coding RNA of Lagopus leucura (white-tailed ptarmigan), 669 nucleotides long. RefSeq lists it as uncharacterized. NCBI's taxonomy places the organism in Eukaryota, Metazoa, Chordata, Aves, Galliformes, Phasianidae. The record is from RefSeq and is a predicted model, not a curated record. The transcript has 2 exons.
CACCAGCCGCCUCCAGCCUUCAAAAGCACGAGAGCGGCGUGGCGCUGCCCGGGAGCGGCAUGGCGGCGGGGCCGGAGACCGGCGGGGAGUGCGGGAUCUGCUAUGAGGCGUACCGGGGCGUCUGGGCGCCCCAACAGCUGCCCUGCAGCCACUCCCUCUGCCAGAACUGCCUACGCAAGCUGGUGUGCCGCGCCGCCACCGUUGCCUUCAUCAGCUGCCCCUUCUGCAGGAUGGUGACGCUGGUGCCCGAGAUGGUCCCAGCUCACAGCCGGGGAGGAGGAGGAAGAUGAUGAAGACAGCGGUGCCCGUCGGGCCUCGAGGCAGUCCAUGACCAUGGAGGCGGCCUGCGCAGCCCACGCUCCCAUCUUUACGGGUCAGAAGUUAACAGGGAGGAAGACUGCGAGCCUUCGCGAGGAAGAUGAGGAUUCUUCAGCCCACGGCCGCCAGGAGGAGACCCUCACCACUCACUGCGCACGCGCAAGGGGAGGCCGCGUGCUGAUGGGUUCGGAAAGGAAUGAAUGUGAUCUGAAUUCCUGGGAACUGCUGAUCACGUAUUACUUCGGCCUCUACCUGGAGCACGCUUUUUCCUGACGCUGUGCGACUCAGGAGCAGCUCUCCCCCUUGCACCUGGCGUCGCAGCCCUGAUUAAAUGUACCUGCUUUUGUAAUA